Molecule: ribosomal RNA, 757 nt
Filed under: Salmonella enterica
Lineage: Bacteria; Pseudomonadati; Pseudomonadota; Gammaproteobacteria; Enterobacterales; Enterobacteriaceae
Description: partial 23S ribosomal RNA
Rfam family: Bacterial large subunit ribosomal RNA
Source: RNAcentral
GUCUGCAUGGAGCCGGCCUUGAAAUACCACCCUUUAAUGUUUGAUGUUCUAACGUGGACCCGUAAUCCGGGUUGCGGACAGUGUCUGGUGGGUAGUUUGACUGGGGCGGUCUCCUCCUAAAGAGUAACGGAGGAGCACGAAGGUUGGCUAAUCCUGGUCGGACAUCAGGAGGUUAGUGCAAUGGCAUAAGCCAGCUUGACUGCGAGCGUGACGGCGCGAGCAGGUGCGAAAGCAGGUCAUAGUGAUCCGGUGGUUCUGAAUGGAAGGGCCAUCGCUCAACGGAUAAAAGGUACUCCGGGGAUAACAGGCUGAUACCGCCCAAGAGUUCAUAUCGACGGCGGUGUUUGGCACCUCGAUGUCGGCUCAUCACAUCCUGGGGCUGAAGUAGGUCCCAAGGGUAUGGCUGUUCGCCAUUUAAAGUGGUACGCGAGCUGGGUUUAGAACGUCGUGAGACAGUUCGGUCCCUAUCUGCCGUGGGCGCUGGAGAACUGAGGGGGGCUGCUCCUAGUACGAGAGGACCGGAGUGGACGCAUCACUGGUGUUCGGGUUGUCAUGCCAAUGGCACUGCCCGGUAGCUACAUGCGGAAGAGAUAAGUGCUGAAAGCAUCUAAGCACGAAACUUGCCCCGAGAUGAGUUCUCCCUGAGACUUUAGGUCUCCUGAAGGAACGUUGAAGACGACGACGUUGAUAGGCCGGGUGUGUAAGCGCAGCGAUGCGUUGAGCUAACCGGUACUAAUGAACCGUGAGGCUUAACCUU